This 66-nucleotide transfer RNA is filed under the name Delias pasithoe. Its description in RNAcentral is "tRNA-Cys". Lineage: Eukaryota; Metazoa; Arthropoda; Insecta; Lepidoptera; Pieridae. The record is from RNAcentral. RNAcentral also lists the same sequence under 1 other name.
AGUCUUAUAUUCAUUUAUGAUAUAAAAUUGCAAAUUUUAAGGUGUAAUUAUAAAUUACUAAGGCUU